CUCGCACAUGGUAUUCAAGGCGCUUACUUAUUAUUUCCUAAACUCUUCAUUGCACCCAACUGCAGUGAAUUCAGGGCAGGAGACAAAACUCCUUCAGGGGUUAUUAACGGUUCGAGUGGAAAGAGUGAUCCCACUUGCCAAAAGUCACAAUGAAAAGGCGGAUUAGCCUGAUUCUGGAGGCCCGUCAGCUUGAUGCUCUUGGUUAAAUGACACCCGCUACGAACCACAGAGCGGAGCUUUGCGGGCAUGGCGUAACAAAGGGUGCCAUGUCCCUACCUGGGAUCUGAACUGGCGAACCCUGGGCCGCCGAAGCGGAACCUGUGUGCUUAACCGCUGCACCACCGGGCCAGGCCCCUUCUGGAAGUUCUUUGUGGAAG
This 377-nucleotide long non-coding RNA is filed under the name Equus caballus (horse). RNAcentral describes it as "lncRNA (ENSECAG00000051183.1)". Lineage: Eukaryota; Metazoa; Chordata; Mammalia; Perissodactyla; Equidae. The record is from RNAcentral.